CGCCUGUGUAUAUUCUAAGCAAUUGAGGCGUGAAACGAAUUAUUUAUGUAAAGCCACUUAUUGUAUCUUAUUCUGUUACGUCUCUACAUGUCAACAUUUCAAGACUACAAAUACAAAGGUGACCUUGGAUAUGCGAAGUUAAAAAAGUAAAAAUAAAUAAAUAAUAAACGAGAAUGGCUUGGAAAAUGAAUGCGUCAGGCUACAGAAAGAGGGUCAAUUAUACCCUUCUAGUAGUUUGGCUGAUAAAACCUCAGGAGUGAUGGCAUCGCAAAAAAGAAAGAGAAAGUGUAAUGAGAGAGGGAGAGAGAGGAGACAGUCAUGAGGGGUAAAGGAAUAAUGCAACUUCAAGGCAAGAGAUACUACCAUUCUAAGUUGGAAUAUUUCCCCAUAAUGGAGGAUGACGUGGAACAAACUAAAGCACAAAACCACCGCGGGGAAUCGAGCCCUAGAUUUCAG
Molecule: long non-coding RNA, 456 nt
Organism: Limulus polyphemus (Atlantic horseshoe crab)
Lineage: Eukaryota; Metazoa; Arthropoda; Merostomata; Xiphosura; Limulidae
Exons: 3
Source: RefSeq, a predicted model, not a curated record